UGGGGAACUUUGGACAAUGGGCGCAAGCCUGAUCCAGCCAUGCCGCGUGUCUGAAGAAGGCCUUCGGGUUGUAAAGGACUUUUGUCAGGGAAGAAAAGGCUGUUGCUAAUAUCAGCGGCUGAUGACGGUACCUGAAGAAUAAGCACCGGCUAACUACGUGCCAGCAGCCGCGGUAAUACGUAGGGUGCAAGCGUUAAUCGGAAUUACUGGGCGUAAAGCGAGCGCAGACGGUUACUUAAGCAGGAUGUGAAAUCCCCGGGCUCAACCUGGGAACUGCGUUCUGAACUGGGUGACUAGAGUGUGUCAGAGGGAGGUAGAAUUCCACGUGUAGCAGUGAAAUGCGUAGAGAUGUGGAGGAAUACCGAUGGCGAAGGCAGCCUCCUGGGAUAACACUGACGUUCAUGCUCGAAAGCGUGGGUAGCAAACAGGAUUAGAUACCCUGGUAGUCCACGCCCUAAACGAUGUCAAUUAGCUGUUGGGCAACUUGAUUGUUCAGUAGCGUAGCUAACGCGUGAAAUUGACCGCCUGGGGAGUACGGUCGCAAGAUUA
RNAcentral lists this ribosomal RNA (549 nucleotides) under uncultured bacterium. RNAcentral's name for it is "bacterial SSU rRNA". It matches the Rfam family "Bacterial small subunit ribosomal RNA", at positions 355 to 896 of the family's 1533-position model. The record is from RNAcentral.